UUUGUGUGUGCCCAGUGAAUAGUGUCUUUAGGUCCAAGCCAAUAGUCAUUUUAAGUUAAACAAGACAAAAAUGGAAUUUUUUUGCUCCAUUAUUUUAAUCUGAUGAAGUCCUAAAAUAUAUCCAUAUAUAAAUAGCUAUUUAACCCUAAUUUAUGAGUGCCUAGAUUUAAACAUUCCUAUUUUGCCUGUAAUUGCAAUGAUUUACAUCAAAAGAAAGCAACCACCAAUCUCAACACGUUCUGGUUUUGACUGUACUAGUGAAAGCUUAGAGCUCCUACAUAGCCAAAAGAAAAACCUAGAUCACAAAACAUACAGUGCUCCUGCAAAACGCACUGCAGCCAAAUCUGACCUAUCAAUGGGGGAUUUAGUCAGUUUAUGUAUGAAUUAUGUCCCGAAAAUGACACCUAGGGCUUCCCUCCACGCAGAAUUAACUGAGAUCAGAAGGCUUAUUUGAUUAUUUACACAAUACCUUACCAAAGACGAUGUUACUGCCAUGGACAGAUCAGAUCUGGAAGCAGUUCAGCUAUUUCCACUGUAAUAGUAAAUAUUGCCAGACUUAACCUUGCUGUAACUCUAAAGCACACAGUGAGCUUCAUCAGCCCUGCACUGACUGCCUACACCUGGGAUGUGACACAGCACCACCUGAAUGAAAUCAAGCUCAUCAGUGUAAAACCCAUUCUCAAUACUACCACAGUACAAAAUGUCCUCCCCCAUUCCCUCAAUAAAAAGGGUCCUUUCUAGCAAUCAGCACAAGAGAUACCUUAUUUCUAAAUGUCCCUUGCAGUAGGGAACAUGUACAAAAUGUCUCCAGCUAUUUUCUUUCUCUCAGCAGUUCCCCAAAGAGCAAAAAGGCAGAUAUUACCACCAGCCCACUUACUCCGGUCCCUGCUGAUGAGGGUAAUUCAACAAACCAGUACCUGUGAGGAGGAGGCAUGGGGGUGCACAGGCACAAAACUAAGCCAAGGAACAGCCUGGAUGGGUUACUGCCUUCAUCUGAGGGAGGCACAAAGCUGCUUCACAUUCUAGUGCAGUAACACUAAAUGUUAACAUCUGGACUCAUAGUAAAAGGCGAGCUGCACCUCAUUUUUGUUCGUUAUUACCGCAUCUAAAUAUUACAAGAAAGCUUUUAUUAGUAAAAAGUGAAUAAUUUUCCACCUAGAAGUCACAAGCUUUAAGGCAAAGCACACACUAUGCCCUUCACUGACCGAAUCCUGUGGUCCUGACAGACACACCAACACUUGGGUGGGCUUUGGUCUGUUCCGUUUCGGCAGUGGUACCCAACCCAUCACCACCACCACCACAUGGGAAAGGCGAUAACCAAGCACCAGUCUCACUUUUUUCUGUCAAACACUGCAAAUACUACUACAAGAAAACAGCUUUGCCUCAGGUACCCCAUGGAGCCACCUCCCCAAGGCACAAGGCUUUGCCCUGGGGAAAGUGGUCAGCGUAGCGGGGUGUGUGUGUGAGGCGGCGGCCCUCACCUGCACCGCUUCGUGUCGCUGGGGGCCCGGCCAUCCCCCGGCCGUCCCGCUGCAGGCUCUGUCUUCCCAUCGUCCGCGAACAGGGAAC
Long non-coding RNA from Strigops habroptila (Kakapo), 1569 nucleotides. The record is from Ensembl. Lineage: Eukaryota; Metazoa; Chordata; Aves; Psittaciformes; Psittacidae.